This 503-nucleotide ribosomal RNA is filed under the name uncultured bacterium. RNAcentral describes it as "partial 16S ribosomal RNA". It matches the Rfam family "Bacterial small subunit ribosomal RNA", at positions 30 to 523 of the family's 1533-position model. The record is from RNAcentral.
AUUGAACGCUGGCGGCAGGCUUAACAUAUGCAAGUCGAGCGGGGUGAUGGUGCUUGCACUAUCACUUAGCGGCGGACGGGUGAGCAAUGCUUAGGAAUCUGCCUAUUAGUGGGGGACAACAUCUCGAAAGGGAUGCUAAUACCGCAUACGUCCUACGGGAGAAAGCAGGGGAUCACUUGUGACCUUGCGCUAAUAGAUGAGCCUAAGUCGGAUUAGCUAGUUGGUGGGGUAAAGGCCUACCAAGGCGACGAUCUGUAGCGGGUCUGAGAGGAUGAUCCGGCACACUGGGACUGAGACACGGCCCAGACUCCUAAGGGAGGGAGCAGUGGGGAAUAUUGGACAAUGGGGGGAACCCUGAUCCAGCCAUGCCGCGUGUGUGAAGAAGGCCUUAUGGUUGUAAAGCACUUUAAGCGAGGAGGAGGCUCUUUUGGUUAAUACCCAAGAUGAGUGGACGUUACUCGCAGAAUAAGCACCGGCUAACUCUGUGCCAGCAGCCGCCGUAA